Molecule: ribosomal RNA, 440 nt
Filed under: uncultured bacterium
Lineage: Bacteria
Description: partial 16S ribosomal RNA
Rfam family: Bacterial small subunit ribosomal RNA
Source: RNAcentral
CCUACGGGUGGCAGCAGUGGGGAAUAUUGCACAAUGGGGGAAACCCUGAUGCAGCGACGCCGCGUGAGUGAAGAAGUAUUUCGGUACGUAAAGCUCUAUCAGCAGGGAAGAAAAUGACGGUACCUGACUAAGAAGCCCCGGCUAACUACGUGCCAGCAGCCGCGGUAAUACGUAGGGGGCAAGCGUUAUCCGGAUUUACGGGGUGUAAAGGGAGCGUAGACGGCAGCGCAGGUCUGGAGUGAAAUCCCAUGGCUUAACCAUGGAACUGCUGUGGAAACUGUGCAGCUAGAGUGCAGGAGAGGUAAGCGGAAUUCCUAGUGUAGCGGUGAAAUGCGUAGAUAUUAGGAGGAACACCAGUGGCGAAGGCGGCUUACUGGACUGUAACUGACGUUGAGGCUCGAAAGCGUGGGGAGCAAACAGGAUUAGAUACCCUUGUAGUC